Long non-coding RNA from Numida meleagris (helmeted guineafowl), 1797 nucleotides. The record is from Ensembl. NCBI's taxonomy places the organism in Eukaryota, Metazoa, Chordata, Aves, Galliformes, Numididae.
GUUAAUUGCAUAUAUGUGUGCACAGUGCUCUCUAGGCACUCUGGUGAAUCUGGACUGUUGCAUUGAAAAGAACUCAAGAUUGACUGGGCCAGUAAGAUAAUAGGAGCAUGAACAUAGGAGCUUCACGGGUAGGGCAGGACAUGAUAGAUGGAUAGCUUGAGUUCUGCUCUAAAGAUUCAUAUUUUAUUCAAUGCUGCUUCAUCAUCACCCCUUUCAACUGUGUUCUAAAAAGAAAAAGAGUAGUCCCUGCUUAGCUAUUUCAAAGAUGGGUCACAAACACUUUCUUUCAGGAAAGGGCUAAAAUCUGUGGAUCUGCAGUAGAUAAAAGCAUUUUCCUGCAAAAUAUGAAGCACAGAGUAGGUCAGGGUCACAUUUCAAACAUCCUCAUGCUUAGUGUUUCCUAUAACAGCUGCUUUCAAAUAGGACCUCCUCCCCCACCUUCCUCCAUUGAAUAAAUUCUUGAAAUAUAUCAGAAGUGUAAGAAGGCCCAAGGAAAGUCCAUCUGAUUACUUACUCUACCUUUGUUUUUUUCUUCCAUCAUGCUCUCUCCUUGUGGCAGCAGCUGGAUGAGGACAAGCAGCCUCUCCUACCCCUCUCCGCUUUGCCUGGCUGUGCACUGGCUGCACCAGUGCAGCUGGCAGAUCUCCCAGGUUAAGGUGGAAACAGCAGUGGAGCUGGAUUGUGAGAAAACAGUUUACAUAAGAAAUGGACACUUCAAAGGAAUCUCUGUGAAUGCAGUCACAAGACCUGAGGUUCUUGUUUUACCUGAUGCUCUUCAAAUGCUGCCCAUCCUCUAGAAAAUUCCUUACAAAAUGCCGUCUUGUACUUGUGCUUUGUGAUCAGAAGCAAUUGUUCUCAACAUUUUUGUGAAACCAACCCUACACGUAUUAGAUAUUCUGCCAGCUAGCGGAGAGGAUAAGGCUAAUGCAUCGUCUUCAACCUGAGAGCUAACCUACAUUCCAUAAGUAAGCAGAGAAUAUCCAUUUAAUGGACUUCAUUGAUGUGUGGAGGGGUUCUGACUGCACUGCAAAACAGCGUGAGAUGAGUUACACUAGUCCAGCUAGCAUACAGGACAUUCAAAUGAAAACUAAGUGACUUGAAGAAUGCUAUAUAAGAGGUUAUUUCAUUGAGCAAAUUCAGAAUUCACGGCUUUGAGUUAAAUGUUAAACAUUCAUGGUAGGAGAAAGCAUGCAGUAAUGGACAAUGAAGGGCAGAACUAGAAAUGUCUCCUAAUUUACUUUGUACCCUAAAAUAUGUACAUUAUCACAUAAAACAAUUCAAGAGGAUGUGAUGGCUUUGCAACAUUUUUAUCUAUCAAUGUUUCUAACUAUCAAAAAUACUUCUCUUAUAGAUUUUCUUUGAAUGUCAAAGUCGUCCACAGAGGUAUUGAAUACAAAUUCAAAUGUUGAUAUAGAUACAAGUGUAGUGAUAAGGAAAGUAGCGAUGAGGAAUACACUGGUUUUGAAAACCGAUACACUGGUUUUUGAAAACAGAAUUGUGGGAAGAUUUUUUUAGUGAAGACAAUUGAGUUCUGUCUGUCUUGGAUAGAGCUGGAGUACAAGCAGUGUGUUUCAACAUCCUUCUCUAGAGAUACAACAUAUGCUUUAUUACUUCAAGCUGUUCUCCAUCUCUUUGCAUUCAGACAUCAAGGUUUCUGCAAGUUGUAUGCUUCCUAUGCUGUAUGUGAAUACUCAGAAAUGUGUGGCUUUCUUUCUCUGUGUGCUUCCUUUCAGUGCUCUCCAUUAUAAGAAAAAGAAACCUACAGGGGAGCUUGUGUGAGCUGGGCUUAUCCUUCAC